RNAcentral lists this transfer RNA (62 nucleotides) under Tinaminyssus melloi. RNAcentral describes it as "tRNA-Phe". Lineage: Eukaryota; Metazoa; Arthropoda; Arachnida; Mesostigmata; Rhinonyssidae. The record is from RNAcentral.
AUUUCAGUAGUUUAUACAAAAUGUAUCUCUGAAAAAGAUAAGAAAAAUAUUUUUCUGAAAUG